Molecule: transfer RNA, 74 nt
Filed under: Staphylococcus aureus
Lineage: Bacteria; Bacillati; Bacillota; Bacilli; Caryophanales; Staphylococcaceae
Description: tRNA-Arg
Rfam family: tRNA
About the family: Transfer RNA (tRNA) molecules are approximately 80 nucleotides in length.
Source: RNAcentral
GUCCUGGUAGCUCAGCUGGAUAGAGCAAUGGCCUUCUAAGCCAUCGGUCGGGGGUUCGAACCCCUCCCAGGACG